Centrocercus urophasianus (Greater sage-grouse) is the source of this 8357-nucleotide long non-coding RNA. RefSeq lists it as uncharacterized. The transcript has 4 exons. The record is from RefSeq and is a predicted model, not a curated record. NCBI's taxonomy places the organism in Eukaryota, Metazoa, Chordata, Aves, Galliformes, Phasianidae.
GCUCUGACAGCAGAACUUUUGAUAUUCUCUAUUCUGCUUUGUUCAGUGUGCUCUGCUUUAUGCUUUCUGAAAUGGCUCUUGUUGCUGUGGCGUGGCUCUUAAAUCAUGACUUCAUGCUCCAGAGUUUGGAGGUUUUAUUUAACAAAAAGAAUUUCGAUUUGAUUGCUAUAUCUGAAUGAAGUGUUUGAUUACCAACCAGUAAAACCAAGGUUGGCCAGAAGAUGUCAGUUGUGUUUUGCAGGAGAGCUAUGUUAUUCUGAUGACUUUAAUAUGUUUUUGCUUUUAGGUAUGGUCCCUAGCAAAAGAAAUUUGGGUGCUGCUAACAAAACUCCUCAGAACUGGGUAAUCUAAGCAAGGGUUUGAUUAACUUCAGUUUUUUGUUUGUUUUUUUGCCAAAGCUAGGGUAUAAUGGCUCAAGUAACCAAAGUGAUUAAGCUUUAGAGAAAACAAUUUCCUUGUCUUGCCAUUGCUUGAUGCAAGAAAAUGAAGCCUCCUUCCUCAAGUCUUCAAUUGCUGAAGAAAGAAAAAUUGCUUCAGCUGAAGAACUGUUCGCUGAACUGUUACCUGUCUGUCCAACUCGUGCUGUCAUGCAGCUUGUAUGCUGCAGAUGUUCACAGCUGCCCCAUGGCUAUGCUGUGGCUUAGUAUGUUAGCUUUUGCAAGGAAUUCAGUUUUGGAAAUUAUAGAGAAACAAGCCUCGCUUCUUUGAGAUGAUGGAGGUCUACUCAUAUCUCAGUGUCUUGGUGUUCACGGAGACAUUUUGAUCCUUCUGUUCAUUCUCAGUGUCAGCUGGAAUUCUGGAAAAAAUGAAGGCUUGAGGAAUAGAUAGGUGUUACAUUAAAUAUUAACUGCAUUUCUUCUGGACAUAUUUACCUGCACUGGAUGCUGCUGUAACUAUUGAAGCUUGCAUCUCUUAUGUAUUCUUGCUGUUGCUCUCUCCACCCUUGCUUUCUUUUCAUUACUUCACAGAAAUUAGUUCCGUUUCUUGUUGUGGGCAAAUACUUUAGAGGCAACACAGCUUUCUCUUCCACCAACGAUGGCGAUGUCUUUCCUCCACACAUAGUAGGGGAGGGAAUUCUAAGCCAUGCUUUCUGCCUGGUACACACUGAAGUGAUGCUGCGAGCAGCAAAAUAAAAGCUCUUUCAACUGUUUGGCUGCUUUACAGCAAUGCAGUGUAGUACAGCAUGUAUCAAAGAUCUGAAGUACUUGGUGAUACAGAUAAUUGCUUUGUCCUCUGUGUCGUGACAGGUAAGAGAUGGACUGUCCUUGCAGGCUUACUUUACCUUCUGUUUAAUGCCAGUCUUCAGUCUGAGAUAAGUUUGAGCCUCUGUUUCUCAUCGCUUACUGUGGAAGUAAAGUAAUUCAGACAAUAUUGGCAACUCAACUGAAAGAUUAAAAUGAUGGGUGGAAUUGGAGCAGAACAAGGCUGCUGUGUUUGGAUCAGUGUUGAUCCUCUGUGGAAUAGCUCUAUACUUAGACUUGGGUCAGAUUCUGAUCUCAAAACCAUUUGAUUUAUGUGCUAAUCAGAUCUUUUUUUGUGCUUUUUCUAUUAAGAAUGAAAUUGAGUAAUUGGAUAAGUUUCCAGAGGAUGUACAUCAAAAUUAAAAUCUAAUAGGGGUGGGGCUUAUACUGCAAUUUAUUAAUUUAAACAAAGUAAAAACAGAGUUAAUUUUUUUGGCAAGACUGUGUUAAGCACAUAAAAGCUAUGCAUCCAUCCCUAACUGAUGUUUUAAUGCAUUAAAGAAACUUGCUGUUUGCCAAUGAUUUUCUGUGGUCUUUUGGGAAAUCCUCUGUAAAUUCUCAUUUUGAAUUAAAGAUAUUUGCAGUUUUUACUUAACUAUGAAAAUAGUUGAGUAUAUUUCCUGAAGACCCUGAAAAGAUGCCUAACACUGCAGAAAAGAUUUAUUUUUAUUGUGACUUUGUUUAAACUAAGUUCUCGUGUCUUUGAAAUGUUUGGCUGUGGAUUAUAUAGGAUUAUACUAGUCAAUAUUCUGAAAGUUUCUUUUGUGACAUUACACAGAAAAGAGCGGAGGACCUCUGUAGAAACUGCAAAAACAAUGCCAUGUAUCUCCCCUUUUCCAACUAUGUUAAAAAAAGAAUGGAGUUCAAUUACAUUUUAACUUGUGUGUGUGGUUUUCCAGUCAUGUGACAUAAAAGUAGGUGUCCUCAAUUAUCAGCAUUUCCUUUCCUGUAGUCCUAGUUAAUUUUUAAUUUUUUUUUCCAUUCAGGCUUUUAGAGGCAUUCUAUUGUUUUUUGGUGAAUGCUAGUAAUAAAUAUUUCUAUGCCAACUCAUGUUUUAUUCAUAGUGCUGAUGAGAACAAUCUCCUCUGAAAUUUCUUUUGCUCAAAAAGAUCAAAAACUUUACAGAUGCAAUAAAUUUCUUUUCAGCUUGGUGUGAAGAUUUUCUAUUGCUUUGCUGGACGUUUUUGAAGAAACUAGAAAUUGCCAAGUUCUGCUUUUUAACUGAAGCAGUAGGAACCAACCUCAUACAUACAGCAAGUGGACCAGCUCUUUAUUUUCGUCAUUUCAAGAUGCCAGUAUUGUACUAAAAACACAUAUGGCUACCUUUUUAAUAAUAAAAAAUUAAUUCUGUCAUUAGUGGAAAAUGCACUGUUGUGCUCUCUUGUGAUCACAUGGAGGUUUACUGCCCUAAGAUCCUGGGAUGUUGUCCAGAGUCAAUUGACCUCUCCUUGAAACGGGUAAGAGUCUGAAACUUCUAUAUAUGCAUGCAUUCCAUUUGCAGAGGAGAUGCAGCUGUAGAUGUGCAGUACUCAUGACUCUAGGGAUUAUAGAUUUAUAUCCUAAUGGUGAUGAAAGAGAAUUUUAACUAGUAGCUGAUAGUGUAUUUUUAUCAUUGGUUUUUAAACUUACUUUUAGCAGUAAUGGCUUACAUCAAUAAUCUACUGAUAGCUUAUUCAAGCUGAAGGUUUCAAUUCAUCCUCACCAAACAAGGUAUUUCCAUUGUUCAUUAUUAUGUGCAGCUUCCAUUUCAACUCUGAACUCGUAAAUCAUAAAUGAAUGUGAAGUGUUCAUUUCUCUCUUUCAGCACUACCUUUAUCUAAUAUUUGCUGACAGGGCUCAUUGUAACUUAUUUCUGAGUGCAGUCAGGCCUUGUUUUAUGAACAGAAUUCAUUGUUGGAAAGGAUUCUAUAAAUAGAACUUAAGGGGCACCAAAAUGAGAAAUUCUACCUCAUUAGCGUCUUCACUGGAAAAAUCUGAUCCAAUACACAGGAAUUUUGAGCUGAUGAAAUACAAGCAAAUCUCAAAAUAGAUUCUAAAGGGUUAUGCUGUGAAUGGACUAUUAGUAUGUUACUGUUUAGGGUGAUAGAAAGAGAAAAGAGAUUCAAGGUAGUAUGUAUUAGAAUAAGAGGAGAAAAAAACAGCAUUGAUAUUACAAAAAAGUAUGUAUACAGUGGGUUAUUUUCUGGUACUUUGAGUUGUCUUCUUCAGGUGAGGCUUGCGUGAAAUCAAAAUCCUGUAACAAAAUAGCCCUGCUUAUCUUCCUCAUAUGUAAGAGACAGAGAUGUCUCCUCUAGCAAUGCUAGGUAGUGAAGUGGUAAAGCAAAUUUAUGGUGAAGUGAUUCUAUUUCAGCAUCUCAAGGAGGAUUACUAAUGGAAAAUAUAUUAAUCCUCUGAACUAUCUAGUCUCAUGGAAGACUAAAGGCUUAUUGCAUCAGCCUAGAAGUAUGUCCUCUGGGGACAACGUGAGGAUGUGUGCACAAGUUCUGUGUUGAAUGUGUCUGGCACAUAGUGCCUGCCAGAAGUUGAAAGUCUGGUGCUAGGGCUUGCAUGAAGACUCUGUCCUAACUCUUCCCAUGCUGGGUGACUUCAAAUGUGGCUGAAUAAUUAAUUAAGUCAGGAUAUUAUUUCAUGAUAACAAAACUAACUUAUUUCUUCACUUCCUCUUUCCCCAGUGAGAAACAAAGUAUACUGACUAUGCAGAGAGAGACCCUAUUGUCUUGAGACACAGUUUCAGAUGCAUUUCUCUGAAGCAACUAUCUAUAGCACAGUAUUACUGUCGUGGAUGGGACCAUAACGUGAAGUGGUGGCCUGGAUAGAAGCCAGUUGGUAGACAUGAAGACAAGGCUGAAUCUUAACUCGCAGUGUGUGUGGUCUCUGCGAGGCAUUACAUAUAACAGGAAAUUUCUGAUUUCCAUUGAGCAUCAAAUCAUCAGACCCUCAAGAACCUCUUGAAGUGACAAGCCUUUAAUAUCUCAGCAGCAAUGUGGAAAACCUCAUGCGAUAGCACAGUCUCCGCUUUCUAGGUCAGUUGUUUCUCUAGUGAGUACAAAUAUGCAGCAGAACAAACAUAUUUCUCUAUGUUUAAUGAAAACCAUGAGCACUCUCACAGAACCUGAACUGUGUAAAACUGGUCAUGUAGGCGAAAGAUCAUGAAAGUUUCUCUGAGCUCCUGUGCCAAAAAUAGUGGACAUUUGCUAUCUAGAAUCAAAGAGCUGCUAUAAAAAGAUGAUUCUAAGCCUGUGGAGUAUCUGUGUCAUUAGUCAGGAGGGUUUAUUUUUGGAAUAAGCGUUGACAAUGCCACUUACAAUCAAGGCAGACAUAAAGCUACUGAACCAUGAGCUCCAGGAGCAGCGUUACACAGAGAACACUGUGACUCUAAUGUGAGGAAAACCAGGGUGCGUUACCAUCUGUGAGCUUUCUAUCUUAGAGAAGAAAUGAUAAUUAUAUUACAGAACUACAUAAUUCUUGCAGUAGUUUCCUAAGCUCUGUGUUUCCCAGAAAACUCACAGGCCUUAUAUGUGAUGACCCUUUCUCUAGGCCAGAAGGGCAAGAUGCUGUUCAUUGUUUAUCAGCCAGUAGUGGCUGAUUAAGUGUCAGAAGACAUGUUCAUUACCCAAGUGCAGAGCUUGAAGGCUCUCUGCAAUCACAGCAUUUUCUGACCCUCAUGCUCACACUCUGGUACACUUGGGGAUUUUUUAUGAUUGAAGUAGAAAUUUGUAUUUCCAAGAAAAGUUAGUGUCUGUCCAUUUUUCUAGUCCUCAGUACCACUGUAAUUGAGGGCUUUGCAAUCUUGCCCUUAAGAAGCCCUGCAAAUAUUUUCAAGCAGCAAAGCAAGGCAUAGACUAUUAAUUUGUUCAAGGUCACUGAAGAAAUCUCUGAUGGAACAGAAUUCAGGUUUCCCAAGUGCAGCUGUCCUCAGUGGUACUGUCAUCUUCUGACAAAGGGUAUCUUUUAUUAGAAGACUUUAUUCCAACUGAUAGGCUGAGUCAAUUUAUUUUGCUGCACUUCUGGAGUGGAGCUGUAUCCAAAUGCAGUCUCCUGGCCAGAACUUGCUGCAAAUGGCAAGGUGUCAUACCAGUGUGCUUGUAAAGACAAAACGAUAGAGCAAAGUAUAAGCUGGCAACCUAGCCAGUUGUUCUUCUGGAGCACAGCUGCCUGGUAUAAUGCACAUGUGGCCUAAUGGUACAUGUCUGGGCAGAAAAAGACUCCUGGUGACUCAAAAUUUCUAAUUUACACAGAUGUAGUACAUGGUGGUAUAUAGGCAUUAGUCCUUUUCCUAUUUAAAAUAAAUGAAUUGUCUGGCUUCAAAUUCAAACUUUUUUUUGAAGCUGAGAAAGUUGUGCAGGUCUCCGUGUGUAAUAGAUAGUUAAUGUUACACUGAAUUAUGUAUCUAGAAAGCAGAAUUUAUACAGGUAAUAUGUAAUUCAAAAUAUUUGCUAUGCUUAAAUUAAGCAUUUCCCUGCUCACCUUCCUCUGAUCUUGAAGAGCACUGCAGACCACAUCUUUUUCCACUGCUUGCACUGUGGUAUGUCUUAUUUAAUACAUCUCUUCAGGCUAUAUUACUCAGUCCAUCUUAGCAGCAGAAUUUGGAGUCUGCUGCUACAUAGACCAUCUGGGAGCUCUGCAAAGAUGGAGAGAGUUCUGCUUCACUUUCUACAGGAUUGAGACUAUGAGGAAAAUGUCAGAAAAAUUACAAAAAACAAGGUGGGGAGGGACUUCCCUCUUUCUCAGUGAUUAUUAGAGAUAGACACAGCACUCCGACCUUCUUCCUUUCUACAGAGUUCUAUUUCCAAGUCACACUUCUGUUUAUGCUUUGUUUAUGCACAUUUCUGUUAUUCUUUGAGUUGCAUAAAAUCCUUUUCCGACAUGAAAGAUGUUUUUAUCCAAUUCUUACAUCUUGUGCUUGUCUCUGGCUAUGUUUAAAAUUAUGUUAGAAGUUCAGUUUUGUUCUUUAAGGAAUGAUUAAAAAGACUGAAGUAAUUGACAGUGGUGUGAAGAAGGCCUGCUUCUUUUUCAUUUGUACUAGUAUAAAUGUGAAACAAUUCCACUGAAUACAAAAUCAAUUUCUCAAAGAAAAACUAGUGUUGGAAUGCUGAUGGUAACAAAUUUUCUUUUACAGGCUGGUAAUACACUUUUCUGCACAAACACUGAAAAAUUUAAGUGAUUCUAAAAACAAUGCCAUUGUUUUGCCCCCAUGGAAUGAAAUCCUUGCCAAGUUUCCAGGGAAUGUGUUUGAUAAGGACUGGGCAUCCUUGUGACCUUACUAAAUACUCUCCUAGUGUGGGAAUACAUCUUACACACUGUGCCCAAUAAGAAUAGUAACAUUGCUAACUUUGUAACAGAUAGCUAAAAACAGACUACUUCACACCUUGGGUAAAAUAGUCCAGUAUCUCAUGGAUGAUGUGAGAAAAUCAACAUGUGAGUGAGACUGGGGGUUUGAUUUAAAAGAAAGGGGAUGAGAAGAGAAAGCUCAAAUGAUGACUCCUGGGUAAUUAAAGCUGUCUAAUCUGGCUCCUUUCUGACUCUAAAGUUACGCAUGAAGGUUUAUAUUGCAACUCAGCCCAUUAAUGAUGAAUAAUUGGAUAGGUAACAGAGCAGCUCACAUCACCUUCUUUCCAUAGUGCACUGAUGGGAGAACUUUGCUUCAGAGCUGAAAACUUGAGUGACGUGAAGAGUAUAAAUGAUAUUACUAAAGUAAAAUUUCACAAAAAUACACUUAAAAACAAAGAAAAAAAAAAAAAGUACUUUACAAAGAAGUCUCACUACAUUUGGGGCUGGAGUACUUGCCUUUCUUUCCUCCACAUUCUCCUCUUAUUUUAUAUUUUUAAUAGAUUGAAACUCUGCUUUGAUAAGUAUGGAGACAGCAAUACUUCAUUAAUGAUGGUAACAGUGUUAUUUUGCUAGGAAACACUGCUAAGCUCCAGCUUCUAAUUCAAGCAUGAAAAGUAGUUUUGAGGGUAAGGUUUUUAAUUCCAGUUGUAUAAACUCUGCAUUUUAAUGUAUCUAAGACAUCUUGCACAAUUUUACAGCUAAGCCCAGAUAUCUUGCUAAUUCAAUUUAUUACGACUUUGCAUAUUUACAGGUGUUUUUUACUGUUAGACUGCAGAGUUCACUUUAUAAUAAGGCUUGGCAAUUGUGGGGAAAACUGCAAAAAUUUAGCAAGAGUACAAUUUUUUCUUGGGUUGAUUAGACAGCCAACAAACCAGAUAGCUUAGCUCCAAAUUGAUUCAUUAUCAGCAGCAGUCCAGGAUAUCCAGUCAAUACAUCCAUUUUCUUAAAUAUUGAUCAAGAUUGUAAAGUUUGACAGAUUGCAGUGGCAUGGAAAUCGUUGCUCUAGUUUAUAUUUUUGAAUACUUUUCACCUAAACCUGUGUCUGUAGAGACAUUUCAGUGAAAACCUGUGAUGCCUCAGUGCUAAUAAAGUUUGUAAUACAAUUAGGAAUCUUUGCGUUUGACAAACCUCAGCCAAAUUUUCAUAAUAGCUGUUAUUGAGCCUGACUUUCAGAAAUCCGUGCCUCGCAUUUUAGGAGUGAUCAGUUAUUUGAAAAUUCAGCUGAGCUUUGUCAGUUGUCCUAUUUCAAAGCACACAAAGUACUUCAAGUUUAUGUGAAUGACUAAAGUGUUCUGGGGAAAUAAAUAGCAGGAAAUGCUUUAUAGAUGCAGAGGUUUGCAGUAUACUUGUACAGAAAAAUGAGAUACAUUCAGUAUAUAUGUGUUUGGAUUUUGCAUUUGCAUGAUUCUCCUGUUACAUUAUUUUUCUGAAGGAUUUGGGAGUUGUCAUUUGUCACUUCAGUUGCUUAAGCCCUGCUGAAAGAGUUCUAUUAUUUAAUACAUUCCACACAAACAUUAAGAAAUUCAUGAUGUUUGCUUCACAGAACAUCAAAAAUUUCGCCGAAAAUUCCUAUUCCAUGUCUGAAUGGAUAGCAAAACUUUUUAUUUUAUCACAUUUAUUUUGAGAGGAAAUUGACAUUAAAGCAUUUAGGAGUCUAAUAGUCUUGUCCUAAAUCGUUCACACUCUAAAACAUCCCCAGUCUCUCAAACAUCAGAGAAGUCUCACUUUCAAUCAAAUGAACUAUUUAUCUUGACUUUUAAGCUUUUUACGUAAUUACUAUUUUAU